GAUGAACGCUGGCGGCGUGCCUAAUACAUGCAAGUCGAGCGAACAGACGAGGAGCUUGCUCCUUUGACGUUAGCGGCGGACGGGUGAGUAACACGUAGGUAACCUACCUAUAAGACUGGGAUAACUUCGGGAAACCGGAGCUAAUACCGGAUAAUAUUUCGAACCGCAUGGUUCGAUAGUGAAAGAUGGCUUUGCUAUCACUUAUAGAUGGACCUGCGCCGUAUUAGCUAGUUGGUAAGGUAACGGCUUACCAAGGCAACGAUACGUAGCCGACCUGAGAGGGUGAUCGGCCACACUGGAACUGAGACACGGCCCAGACUCCUACGGGAGGCAGCAGUAGGGAAUCUUCCGCAAUGGGCGAAAGCCUGACGGAGCAACGCCGCGUGAGUGAUGAAGGUCUUCGGAUCGUAAAACUCUGUUAUUAGGGAAGAACAAACGUGUAAGUAACUGUGCACGUCUUGACGGUACCUAAUCAGAAAGCCACGGCUAACUACGUG
This 497-nucleotide ribosomal RNA is filed under the name uncultured bacterium. RNAcentral describes it as "partial 16S ribosomal RNA". It matches the Rfam family "Bacterial small subunit ribosomal RNA", at positions 28 to 507 of the family's 1533-position model. The record is from RNAcentral.